This 274-nucleotide ribosomal RNA is filed under the name uncultured bacterium. RNAcentral describes it as "partial 16S ribosomal RNA". It matches the Rfam family "Bacterial small subunit ribosomal RNA", at positions 523 to 796 of the family's 1533-position model. The record is from RNAcentral.
AUACAGAGGGUGCAAGCGUUAAUCGGAUUUACUGGGCGUAAAGCGCGCGUAGGCGGCUAAUUAAGUCAAAUGUGAAAUCCCCGAGCUUAACUUGGGAAUUGCAUUCGAUACUGGUUAUCUAGAGUGUGGGAGAGGAUGGUAGAAUUCCAGGUGUAGCGGUGAAAUGCGUAGAGAUCUGGAGGAAUACCGAUGGCGAAGGCAGCCAUCUGGCCUAACACUGACGCUGAGGUGCGAAAGCAUGGGGAGCAAACAGGAUUAGAAACCCCAGUAGUCC